CAGGCUUAACACAUGCAAGUCGAGGGGCAGCAUGGUCUUAGCUUGCUAAGGCCGAUGGCGACCGGCGCACGGGUGAGUAACACGUAUCCAACCUGCCGUCUACUCUUGGACAGCCUUCUGAAAGGAAGAUUAAUACAAGAUGGCAUCAUGAGUCCGCAUGUUCACAUGAUUAAAGGUAUUCCGGUAGACGAUGGGGAUGCGUUCCAUUAGAUAGUAGGCGGGGUAACGGCCCACCUAGUCUUCGAUGGAUAGGGGUUCUGAGAGGAAGGUCCCCCACAUUGGAACUGAGACACGGUCCAAACUCCUACGGGAGGCAGCAGUGAGGAAUAUUGGUCAAUGGGCGAGAGCCUGAACCAGCCAAGUAGCGUGAAGGAUGACUGCCCUAUGGGUUGUAAACUUCUUUUAUAAAGGAAUAAAGUCGGGUAUGGAUACCCGUUUGCAUGUACUUUAUGAAUAAGGAUCGGCUAACUCCGUGCCAGCAGCCGCGGUAAUACGGAGGAUCCGAGCGUUAUCCGGAUUUAUUGGGUUUAAAGGGAGCGUAGAUGGAUGUUUAAGUCAGUUGUGAAAGUUCGCGGCUCAACCGUAAAAUUGCAGUUGAUACUGGAUAUCUUGAGUGCAGUUGAGGCAGGCGGAAUUCGUGGUGUAGCGGUGAAAUGCUUAGAUAUCACGAAGAACUCCGAUUGCGAAGGCAGCCUGCUAAGCUGCAACUGAAAUUGAAGCUCGAAAGUGUGGGUAUCAAACAGGAUUAGAUACCCCUGGUAGUCCACACGGUAAACGAUGAAUACUCGCUGUUUUGCGAUAUACUGCAAGCGGCCAAGCGAAAGCGUUAAGUAUUCCACCUGGGGAGUACGCCGGCAACGGUGAAACUCAAAGGAAUUGACGGGGGCCCGCACAAGCGGAGGAACAUGUGGUUUAAUUCGAUGAUACGCGAGGAACCUUACCCGGGCUUAAAUUGCAGAUGAAUUACGGUGAAAGCCGUAAGCCGCAAGGCAUCUGUGAAGGUGCUGCAUGGUUGUCGUCAGCUCGUGCCGUGAGGUGUCGGCUUAAGUGCCAUAACGAGCGCAACCCUUGUUGUCAGUUACUAACAGGUUCCGCUGAGGACUCUGACAAGACUGCCAUCGUAAGAUGUGAGGAAGGUGGGGAUGACGUCAAAUCAGCACGGCCCUUACGUCCGGGGCUACACACGUGUUACAAUGGGGGGUACAGAGGGCCGCUACCACGCGAGUGGAUGCCAAUCCCCAAAACCUCUCUCAGUUCGGACUGGAGUCUGCAACCCGACUCCACGAAGCUGGAUUCGCUAGUAAUCGCGCAUCAGCCACGGCGCGGUGAAUACGUUCCCGGGCCUUGUACACACCGCCCGUCAAGCCAUGGGAGCCGGGGGUACCUGAAGUGCGUAACCGCGAGGAGCGCCCUAGGGUAAAACUGGUGACUGGGGCUAA
Molecule: ribosomal RNA, 1439 nt
Filed under: uncultured organism
Description: 16S ribosomal RNA
Rfam family: Bacterial small subunit ribosomal RNA
Source: RNAcentral